Molecule: transfer RNA, 63 nt
Filed under: Tessmannella kiplingi
Lineage: Eukaryota; Metazoa; Arthropoda; Insecta; Hymenoptera; Liopteridae
Description: tRNA-Cys
Source: RNAcentral
AAUUUAAUAGUUUAUAUUAAAAUUUUAAAUUGCAAAUUUAAAGAAAAAUUUAUUUUUAAAUUU